Molecule: ribosomal RNA, 305 nt
Filed under: uncultured bacterium
Lineage: Bacteria
Description: bacterial SSU rRNA
Rfam family: Bacterial small subunit ribosomal RNA
Source: RNAcentral
CCGUACCUACGGGGGGCAGCAGUGGGGAAUAUUGCACAAUGGGGGAAACCCUGAUGCAGCAACGCCGCGUGAGUGAAGAAGGUUUUCGGAUUGUAAAGCUCUGUUAGCAGGGAAGAGGAAGGACGGUACCUGCGGAGGAAGCCCCGGCUAACUACGUGCCAGCAGCCGCGGUAAUACGUAGGGGGCAAGCGUUAUCCGGAUUUACUGGGUGUAAAGGGAGCGUAGACGGCUGUGCAAGUCUGAAGUGAAAGCCCAGGGCUCAACCCUGGGACUGCUUUGGAAACUGUGGAGCUAGAGUGCUGGAG